Long non-coding RNA from Nylanderia fulva, 1039 nucleotides. RefSeq lists it as uncharacterized. Lineage: Eukaryota; Metazoa; Arthropoda; Insecta; Hymenoptera; Formicidae. The record is from RefSeq and is a predicted model, not a curated record.
ACGACAUGUACCGGGGAUUAUCGUGGUUAUCGCGACAAACACGGACAUAAUGUUUUCUACGCGGACUCCGAGAAGUGUCGAAGAGGCAAUAAUAAUUAAUGUUGAACGAUAUGAGCGUUCACAUCGAGUGACACAGACUGAUCGAUGUCAUAGGCCGGUUGUCUUGAGCGAUAACCCCUUUCCGUGACAUCGGGCCGCGCGUUAUCAUUUCCACGAAUGCCUGCUGCACACACCGAAUUCUUUUCCUCGGAUCGGACUUUCUACGCGAGCGAGAAGAUACGCGCCUGAUUUCUCUUCGUCCCUCACGUGUAUCUCUCAGCCACGCAAAUUCCGCCGACGUUCACUAUCAAUUUCUAUAACGGCGAAGCUCACUCUCGACUCUUUAUAUUUCAUGCACACGUUAUUCUCCGUAAGAUCUCGGCGUCGACUCUUCCUCGAACGUGUUUUCGCUCCGUUAGAAGUCUCCGAUAUCCUUAGCAAUUAGAAUAACGACAGUGACGACGUCAACUGAUAACUAUUUUAUCUUCUACGAGAAAACGGCUAAAAUGGAAUAUAGGAUGGUAUGUGUACGUCGCAAUGCAGCGUGUUUGUGUUCUACGACCGUCGGCAUCUUAUUAUUUGGCAUCAUUCUUCGAGAAAUGAGGGGAGAGACGCCUCUGGAUCUUAAUUCAUUGCGGUACAUAUUCCGCGGUCCUCGUUAUUGGAUUCCUCCUGAUAAUUCUGCCUUAAAUCAUCUCGACGCUGGAGAACGCCGGAUUGGAAAGGGGCCUCUAAUUUCGCGCUGAGUCUCUACGGGGUCGUGGAUUAUGCAGGAACCGGCAAAGGGUUGAUCCUCGAGGGACGCGUGCGUCGACGUGACACUACUUGGCCUCUCCGCUAAUAGAAUACCGCCUUCGGGUAAACGGUUGUUUGAAACAUUCCGGAAUACCGGUCAGCCAAUUACCAGUUCCCCGAGACUGAUUAUUCCAUUUUGGAUGCAUAGAUUUUUCUUGCGAGACACGAGAUAAAUCGAGAAAUACAUAUCUAAAUAUAUUUCUUA